ACAAGUGGAACUCUUCCCUCAAGAGGUUGGACGAGUCGACAAAAACCUGUCUCUGCUUGUGGGAUGGGGCUGUCUGCUUCUCUCUCGAAGCGGAUGCAGUCCCAGAGAGGAGAGAUUUCAAGGUUAGGUUGUCCUCGGAGGGGGAGGCUGACGACUUUGUGGACACUUUUAACAAGAGCGUGGAGAAAGCACAUGACGAAUCAAUACGGAAACGGCACAUAGUUUGGUACCUCCAGAACAAGAGGGACUACAAAAAUACGACAAGUAACGCAUCCGCCUCAUCAUCAUCUUCAUCUCAACAAUUCUAGGGAACCAUUUUCCGAAAAAUUUUCCAUAAUGACUCGCCGUGAAAAUUAAUUAAGUGAUUACUUAACUUGAGUUAUAGCAUAUAUUUAAACGAUUGAAGCAUCAAUGGUGGUGAUCAAAAAAUUUGUAAUAAUUGGUUUAUUAAAUAUUAAGUCGAUAAAUAUGUAUGUACCAAACUCCUUAAGAAUAAAUAAACUGAGAAAAAAAUCGA
Molecule: long non-coding RNA, 517 nt
Organism: Folsomia candida
Lineage: Eukaryota; Metazoa; Arthropoda; Collembola; Entomobryomorpha; Isotomidae
Exons: 2
Source: RefSeq, a predicted model, not a curated record